RNAcentral lists this ribosomal RNA (439 nucleotides) under uncultured bacterium. RNAcentral's name for it is "partial 16S ribosomal RNA". It matches the Rfam family "Bacterial small subunit ribosomal RNA", at positions 339 to 795 of the family's 1533-position model. The record is from RNAcentral.
CUACGGGCUGCAGCAGUGAGGAAUAUUGCACAAUGGGGGGGACCCUGAUGCAGCAACGCCGCGUGGAGGAUGACGCAUUUCGGUGUGUAAACUCCUUUUAUAUGUCAAGAAAAUGACGGUAGCAUAUGAAUAAGCACCGGCUAACUCCGUGCCAGCAGCCGCGGUAAUACGGAGGGUGCAAGCGUUACUCGGAAUCACUGGGCGUAAAGGACGCGUAGGCGGGUUGGAAAGUCAGGUGUGAAAUCCUACGGCUUAACUGUAGAACUGCACUUGAAACUUCUAAUCUAGAGUAUGGGAGGGGGAGAUGGAAUUAGUGGUGUAGGGGUAAAAUCCGUAGAUAUCACUAGGAAUACCUAAAGCGAAGGCGAUCUCCUGGAACAUUACUGACGCUAAGGCGUGAAAGCGUGGGGAGCAAACAGGAUUAGAUACCCCCGUAGUC